RNAcentral lists this ribosomal RNA (838 nucleotides) under uncultured bacterium. RNAcentral's name for it is "bacterial SSU rRNA". It matches the Rfam family "Bacterial small subunit ribosomal RNA", at positions 8 to 833 of the family's 1533-position model. The record is from RNAcentral.
AGAGUUUGAUCCUGGCUCAGGAUGAACGCUGGCGGCGUGCCUAACACAUGCAAGUCGAACGGAGCCUUAACCAAAGAAGCAGCCUGCUUGCUGGAAGCGGAAAAGGGAAAGGCUUAGUGGCGGACGGGUAAGUAACGCGUGGGUAACCUGCCCCAUACGGGGGGAUAACACUUAAAAAUAGGUGCUAAUACCGCAUAACAACAGAAAGCGCAUGUUUUUUGUUUGAAAACCAAGGUGGUAUGGGAUGGACCCGCGUCUGAUUAGCUGGUUGGCGGGGUAAAGGCCCACCAAGGCGACGAUCAGUAGCCGGCCUGAGAGGGUGGACGGCCACAUUGGGACUGAGACACGGCCCACACUCCUGCGGGAGGCAGCAGUGGGGAAUAUUGCACAAUGGGGGAAACCCUGAUGCAGCGACGCCGCGUGAGUGAAGAAGUAAUUCGUUAUGUAAAGCUCUAUCAGCAGGGAAGAAAAUGACGGUACCUGAGUAAGAAGCCCCGGCUAACUACGUGCCAGCAGCCGCGGUAAUACGUAGGGGGCAAGCGUUAUCCGGAUUUACUGGGUGUAAAGGGAGCGUAGACGGCAGUGCAAGUCUGGAGUGAAAGGGCGGGGGCUCAACCCCCCGGUCUGCUCUGGAAACUGUACGGCUGGAGUGCAGGAGAGGUAAGUGUAAUCUCCUAGUGUAGCGGUGAAAUGCGUAAUAUAUUAGGAGGAACACCAGUGGCGAGGGCGGCUUACUGCACCGUAACUGACGUUGAUGCUCGAAGCGUGGGGAGCAUACAGGAUUAGAUACGCUGAUAGUCCACGCCAUAAACGAUGAUCACGAGGUGGUCGGGGGGAU